Molecule: ribosomal RNA, 2933 nt
Filed under: Escherichia coli
Lineage: Bacteria; Pseudomonadati; Pseudomonadota; Gammaproteobacteria; Enterobacterales; Enterobacteriaceae
Description: 23S ribosomal RNA
Rfam family: Bacterial large subunit ribosomal RNA
Source: RNAcentral
GGGUUGUGAGGUUAAGCGACUAAGCGUACACGGUGGAUGCCCUGGCAGUCAGAGGCGAUGAAGGACGUGCUAAUCUGCGAUAAGCGUCGGUAAGGUGAUAUGAACCGUUAUAACCGGCGAUUUCCGAAUGGGGAAACCCAGUGUGAUUCGUCACACUAUCAUUAACUGAAUCCAUAGGUUAAUGAGGCGAACCGGGGGAACUGAAACAUCUAAGUACCCCGAGGAAAAGAAAUCAACCGAGAUUCCCCCAGUAGCGGCGAGCGAACGGGGAGCAGCCCAGAGCCUGAAUCAGUGUGUGUGUUAGUGGAAGCGUCUGGAAAGGCGCGCGAUACAGGGUGACAGCCCCGUACACAAAAAUGCACAUGCUGUGAGCUCGAUGAGUAGGGCGGGACACGUGGUAUCCUGUCUGAAUAUGGGGGGACCAUCCUCCAAGGCUAAAUACUCCUGACUGACCGAUAGUGAACCAGUACCGUGAGGGAAAGGCGAAAAGAACCCCGGCGAGGGGAGUGAAAAAGAACCUGAAACCGUGUACGUACAAGCAGUGGGAGCACAGAGCAAUCUGUGUGACUGCGUACCUUUUGUAUAAUGGGUCAGCGACUUAUAUUCUGUAGCAAGGUUAACCGAAUAGGGGAGCCGAAGGGAAACCGAGUCUUAACUGGGCGUUAAGUUGCAGGGUAUAGACCCGAAACCCGGUGAUCUAGCCAUGGGCAGGUUGAAGGUUGGGUAACACUAACUGGAGGACCGAACCGACUAAUGUUGAAAAAUUAGCGGAUGACUUGUGGCUGGGGGUGAAAGGCCAAUCAAACCGGGAGAUAGCUGGUUCUCCCCGAAAGCUAUUUAGGUAGCGCCUCGUGAAUUCAUCUCCGGGGGUAGAGCACUGUUUCGGCAAGGGGGUCAUCCCGACUUACCAACCCGAUGCAAACUGCGAAUACCGGAGAAUGUUAUCACGGGAGACACACGGCGGGUGCUAACGUCCGUCGUGAAGAGGGAAACAACCCAGACCGCCAGCUAAGGUCCCAAAGUCAUGGUUAAGUGGGAAACGAUGUGGGAAGGCCCAGACAGCCAGGAUGUUGGCUUAGAAGCAGCCAUCAUUUAAAGAAAGCGUAAUAGCUCACUGGUCGAGUCGGCCUGCGCGGAAGAUGUAACGGGGCUAAACCAUGCACCGAAGCUGCGGCAGCGACGCUUAUGCGUUGUUGGGUAGGGGAGCGUUCUGUAAGCCUGUGAAGGUGUACUGUGAGGUAUGCUGGAGGUAUCAGAAGUGCGAAUGCUGACAUAAGUAACGAUAAAGCGGGUGAAAAGCCCGCUCGCCGGAAGACCAAGGGUUCCUGUCCAACGUUAAUCGGGGCAGGGUGAGUCGACCCCUAAGGCGAGGCCGAAAGGCGUAGUCGAUGGGAAACAGGUUAAUAUUCCUGUACUUGGUGUUACUGCGAAGGGGGGACGGAGAAGGCUAUGUUGGCCGGGCGACGGUUGUCCCGGUUUAAGCGUGUAGGCUGGUUUUCCAGGCAAAUCCGGAAAAUCAAGGCUGAGGCGUGAUGACGAGGCACUACGGUGCUGAAGCAACAAAUGCCCUGCUUCCAGGAAAAGCCUCUAAGCAUCAGGUAACAUCAAAUCGUACCCCAAACCGACACAGGUGGUCAGGUAGAGAAUACCAAGGCGCUUGAGAGAACUCGGGUGAAGGAACUAGGCAAAAUGGUGCCGUAACUUCGGGAGAAGGCACGCUGAUAUGUAGGUGAAGUCCCUCGCGGAUGGAGCUGAAAUCAGUCGAAGAUACCAGCUGGCUGCAACUGUUUAUUAAAAACACAGCACUGUGCAAACACGAAAGUGGACGUAUACGGUGUGACGCCUGCCCGGUGCCGGAAGGUUAAUUGAUGGGGUUAGCGCAAGCGAAGCUCUUGAUCGAAGCCCCGGUAAACGGCGGCCGUAACUAUAACGGUCCUAAGGUAGCGAAAUUCCUUGUCGGGUAAGUUCCGACCUGCACGAAUGGCGUAAUGAUGGCCAGGCUGUCUCCACCCGAGACUCAGUGAAAUUGAACUCGCUGUGAAGAUGCAGUGUACCCGCGGCAAGACGGAAAGACCCCGUGAACCUUUACUAUAGCUUGACACUGAACAUUGAGCCUUGAUGUGUAGGAUAGGUGGGAGGCUUUGAAGUGUGGACGCCAGUCUGCAUGGAGCCGACCUUGAAAUACCACCCUUUAAUGUUUGAUGUUCUAACGUUGACCCGUGAUCCGGGUUGCGGACAGUGUCUGGUGGGUAGUUUGACUGGGGCGGUCUCCUCCUAAAGAGUAACGGAGGAGCACGAAGGUUGGCUAAUCCUGGUCGGACAUCAGGAGGUUAGUGCAAUGGCAUAAGCCAGCUUGACUGCGAGCGUGACGGCGCGAGCAGGUGCGAAAGCAGGUCAUAGUGAUCCGGUGGUUCUGAAUGGAAGGGCCAUCGCUCAACGGAUAAAAGGUACUCCGGGGAUAACAGGCUGAUACCGCCCAAGAGUUCAUAUCGACGGCGGUGUUUGGCACCUCGAUGUCGGCUCAUCACAUCCUGGGGCUGAAGUAGGUCCCAAGGGUAUGGCUGUUCGCCAUUUAAAGUGGUACGCGAGCUGGGUUUAGAACGUCGUGAGACAGUUCGGUCCCUAUCUGCCGUGGGCGCUGGAGAACUGAGGGGGGCUGCUCCUAGUACGAGAGGACCGGAGUGGACGCAUCACUGGUGUUCGGGUUGUCAUGCCAAUGGCACUGCCCGGUAGCUAAAUGCGGAAGAGAUAAGUGCUGAAAGCAUCUAAGCACGAAACUUGCCCCGAGAUGAGUUCUCCCUGACCCUUUAAGGGUCCUGAAGGAACGUUGAAGACGACGACGUUGAUAGGCCGGGUGUGUAAGCGCAGCGAUGCGUUGAGCUAACCGGUACUAAUGAACCGUGAGGCUUAACCUUACAACGCCGAAGGUGUUU